UAGGGAAUCUUCCACAAUGGACGCAAGUCUGAUGGAGCAACGCCGCGUGAGUGAAGAAGGUUUUCGGAUCGUAAAGCUCUGUUGUUGGUGAAGAAGGAUAGAGGCAGUAACUGGUCUUUAUUUGACGGUAAUCAACCAGAAAGUCACGGCUAACUACGUGCCAGCAGCCGCGGUAAUACGUAGGUGGCAAGCGUCGUCCGGAUUUAUUGGGCGUAAAGCGAGCGCAGGCGGAAUGAUAAGUCUGAUGUGAAAGCCCACGGCUCAACCGUGGAACUGCAUCGGAAACUGUCAUUCUUGAGUGCAGAAGAGGAGAGUGGAAUUCCAUGUGUAGCGGUGGAAUGCGUAGAUAUAUGGAAGAACACCAGUGGCGAAGGCGGCUCUCUGGUCUGCAACUGACGCUGAGGCUCGAAAGCAUGGGUAGCGAACAGG
Molecule: ribosomal RNA, 429 nt
Filed under: bacterium
Lineage: Bacteria
Description: partial 16S ribosomal RNA
Rfam family: Bacterial small subunit ribosomal RNA
Source: RNAcentral